Molecule: ribosomal RNA, 69 nt
Filed under: Noviherbaspirillum suwonense
Lineage: Bacteria; Pseudomonadati; Pseudomonadota; Betaproteobacteria; Burkholderiales; Oxalobacteraceae
Source: RNAcentral
CAGGACCGUGAAACGACUUAGCGCCGAUGAUAGUGCUGCAACCAGUGUGAAAGUAGGUCAUCGUCAGGC